Molecule: long non-coding RNA, 795 nt
Filed under: Pan troglodytes (chimpanzee)
Lineage: Eukaryota; Metazoa; Chordata; Mammalia; Primates; Hominidae
Description: long non-coding RNA NONPTRT010926
Source: RNAcentral
GGUCCCUCCCCGUCCCUGGGCUCCUCUGCAGUCCCCCUCGGCCUCCUCAACGCAGCUUUCCCAGCAGCUUAGGAUAUCGGUUUUUGUUGGACUUGAAAUUGGGAGUUGAGGGCGGCCUGGAGGCGCGCGGGAAGGAGAUUUGGGGUGCGGCUGCUUCAUAAAGAUGUUGCCUUUUACCCCAGCAGUCCCCCGCCCCCUACGCGGGGUGGUGGCAGGAAACCGGUUCCUGAGUUUUCCUUCUUUCUUUUCCUCGACACGACCUCCCCACCAGUGUGUUUCUGUUUAUCCUCCUCGCCCGGGGGCUGGGUCCCUGGCGAAGCCUCGUUUUCACCCACCCACCCCCAAGCCAGAGCUCACCAGUGAUGUAAUGCGGGACCCGCGCGGGGAGGGGAAACGGCAGCCUCAACCGCCUGGCAGCGGCGGUUUCUUCUCUUCGUGAAAAUCGUGAUCUCAUCUCUCCGUCCAAGGGCGAAAAAACAGCCAUCACCAGGCCAUUCACGCUUUGUGCUUUUGUUAGCAGAGCCCAGGCAGCCCUGCAGCCCACAUCUAGGAUUCUCUGCAGAAGACAGCAAGAUGCCCCCAGGGAAUGUUUGUGAAAAAGGAUGACUGGAUGGGAAGCAAGCUGAAGAAAAAGAGGGAAAGAAAGAGAGAAAUCAGUAAAUCACCACACAAGAGGUGGAGAAGAGGACUUAUAAAUAUUGUUUCUAUGACAUUUGAAAAUAAAUGUUUUACUCCAUGCUAAUAGUGAAUGUGGUGUCUUCAGUUUGAAGGGCUUUAAGUGAAGCUCAUUAAAAC